AACGCACAUUGCGCCCGCUAGUAUUCUGGCGGGCAUGCCUGUUCGAGCGUCAUUUCAACCCUCAGACCCCCCGAGCAAUCGGGGCGGGCUGGUGUUGGGGAACGGCCCCGCUCUGCGGAGGCCGGCCCCGAAAUUCAGUGGCGGUCUCGCCGCAGCCUCCCCUGCGUAGUAGCACACCUCGCACCGGAGAGCGGCGCGGCCACGCCGUGAAACCCCCCACUUUUUCAGGUUGACCUCGAAUCAGGUAGGAAUACCCGCUGAACUUAA
RNAcentral lists this unclassified non-coding RNA (267 nucleotides) under uncultured fungus. RNAcentral describes it as "partial contains 5.8S ribosomal RNA, internal transcribed spacer 2, and large subunit ribosomal RNA". The record is from RNAcentral. Lineage: Eukaryota; Fungi.